AACUAUUCUUAUUUCUCUUCUUUAGACAGAUUUCGCUGUUUUUGGAAACGAUGUUCUGAAAUCACUGGCUUUGUUUGUUACGACUGAAUGAUCAGACAUGGGAACUAUGGAAAGAAGGGACGCCAUUGCAAUUGAUGGAUCCGACAUUGGAGGAUUCAUGCGAUAAGAACCAAAUUCUCAGAUGCAUCAACGUGGGGCUACUAUGCAUAGAGUACAACGCAGAAGACAGGCCGACAAUGUCUGAGGUUAUAUCGAUGCUAACAAGUGAAGUCGUACAGUUACCUACACCGAAGCAACCUGCAUUCACAUCAUCAAGACCGAGAAGCAUGAACAUCGACACAGGCUCAAGCACAAACAAUCUCGAUAGUUGCUCGAUUAAUUAUGUCACGAUGACAACAAUGACUGGUCGGUAGAUAGUUGCUCGAUUAAUUUAUUGAGAAUUCUGCGGUAAGAACCAAAUUCUCAGAUGCAUCAACGUGGGACUGCUAUGCAUAGAGUUCAGGGCAGAAGACAGACCGACAAUGUCCGAGGUUAUAUCGAUGCUAACAAGUGAAGUCGUACAGUUACCUACACCGAAGCAACCUUCAUUCACAGCAUCAAGACCGAGAAACAUAAACAUCGAUAUAGGCUCAAGCACAAGCAGUCCCGGUAGUUGCUCCAUCAAUAAAGUCAUGAUGACAACAAUGACUGGUCGGUAGAUGGCUAGAUAAAAUUAGACUGCAGAUAGAAACCACCCCAUUCUGAAUCAACUGUUAUAUUGGAUUUACCCUGGAAAUUCAAGCUUACAUCCUUUGUCUCUUGCUGAUUACUGUAUCCCUGCCUGCCUUAAUUUGGUAAUGGACCCGCCAGGGCUCGUGGUUGGGGGGAUGAUCCAUCCGUCCAGCUCUAAAGAAAAGAAAUGGUGGAUUCAUGUUCGAGUUUGGAUUUUGAUUUGAACUGUGACCGAAUUCAAAUUUUAGGGCGACGAAACUCGAAAUCUAAGAUGAAGAACAGUAAUACCUUUCCAAUUAUGGCAGCAGCUCCUCUGUUUAUUCUCCUCUGUUCGCUCGUCAUUGUUGACCACUACUCCUCCUCCUCCGUCUUGGCAUCCAUUAACCCAUCUGAUAUCCUGGACCGGAGCACGGCUGACUCCUGCGACGGGAACA
This 1145-nucleotide long non-coding RNA is filed under the name Linum usitatissimum (flax). Its description in RNAcentral is "long non-coding RNA (LUSI_LNC008305)". The record is from RNAcentral. Lineage: Eukaryota; Viridiplantae; Streptophyta; Magnoliopsida; Malpighiales; Linaceae.